GCGAAACCCCUAUGAAGAAAUCCAAAAAGAUAACACGCUGAACUUAAGCU
This 50-nucleotide ribosomal RNA is filed under the name Durusdinium sp. D1. RNAcentral describes it as "partial 28S ribosomal RNA". Lineage: Eukaryota; Dinophyceae; Suessiales; Symbiodiniaceae. The record is from RNAcentral.